Molecule: non-coding RNA, 199 nt
Filed under: Clostridium carboxidivorans
Lineage: Bacteria; Bacillati; Bacillota; Clostridia; Eubacteriales; Clostridiaceae
Also listed under: 1 other name
Source: RNAcentral
UUAAUAUUGAUAGUAUUAGGUGCUGCCAUUAAUUGUAAAUGGAAGUUAAAAGGGAAAGUGGAAAAGCCACUGCAGCCCGCCGCUACUGUGAGGAUGAUGAAACCUUAUUCAUAAGUGAGUCACUGGAUAAUUUUAUCUGGGAAGACAAGGGAGUAAAAUGAAUCUGAGCCAGGAAACCUGCCUAGUAUCUUGUUGAUUC